This 254-nucleotide ribosomal RNA is filed under the name uncultured microorganism. RNAcentral describes it as "partial 16S ribosomal RNA". It matches the Rfam family "Archaeal small subunit ribosomal RNA", at positions 474 to 727 of the family's 1478-position model. The record is from RNAcentral.
UACCGGCGCUCCGAGUGGCGACCACGUUUAUUGGGUCUAAAGCGUCCGUAGCCGGCUUGGCAAGUCCCCUGGGAAAUCUGGCGGCUUAACCGUCAGGCGUCCAGAGGAUACUGCCAGGCUUGGGACCGGGAGAGGUGAGAGGUACCUCAGGGGUAGGGGUGAAAUCUUGUGAUCCCUGAGGGACCACCAGUGGCGAAGGCGUCUCACUAGAACGGGUCCGACGCUCAUGCACGAAAGCGUGGGGAGCAAACAGG